Molecule: ribosomal RNA, 301 nt
Filed under: uncultured bacterium
Lineage: Bacteria
Description: partial 16S ribosomal RNA
Rfam family: Bacterial small subunit ribosomal RNA
Source: RNAcentral
CAGCCGCCGCGGGAAUACGAAGGGUGCAAGCGUUAAUCGGAAUUACUGGGCGUAAAGCGUGCGUAGGCGGUUUGUUAAGUCUGCUGUGAAAUCCCCGGGCUCAACCUGGGAAUGGCAGUGGAUACUGGCAAGCUAGAGUGUGUCAGAGGAUGGUGGAAUUCCCGGUGUAGCGGUGAAAUGCGUAGAGAUCGGGAGGAACAUCAGUGGCGAAGGCGGCCAUCUGGGACAACACUGACGCUGAGGCACGAAAGCGUGGGGAGCAAACAGGAUUAGAGACCCCUGUAGUCCCUGUCUCUUAUAC